RNAcentral lists this long non-coding RNA (1300 nucleotides) under Sus scrofa (pig). RNAcentral describes it as "lncRNA (ENSSSCG00060065596.1)". The record is from RNAcentral. Lineage: Eukaryota; Metazoa; Chordata; Mammalia; Artiodactyla; Suidae.
UACUGGAAGUCCUAGCCAGAGAAAUUAGCCAAGAAAAAUAAAAGGCAUCCAAAUUAUAAAGGAAGAAUUAAAACUAUCUCUACAGAUGACAUGAUUCUAUAUAUAGAAAAUCCUAAAAUAUCCACAGAAAAAUCUAGAGCAAUAAAUUAAGUAAAAUUACAGGACAUAGGACCAGCACACAAAAAUUAGUUAUAAUUAAUAAUCCAAAAAUGAACUUUAAAAAUCCUAUUUAUAAUAGCAUCCAAAACAAUAACAUACAUAGGAAUAAAUUUAACCUCUAAAUAGAGGGAAAGAUUUGUAUACUGAAAACUAUAAAACAUUGCGAACAAUAUUAAAACCACAAUUAAAUGGAAAGACAUUCCAGUUUUGAUUGGAAAACGCAAUAGUGUCAUAUUAGUGUACUAGGUUUGCCAUAACAAAAUACUGCAGAUUGGAUGGCUUAAACAACAGAAAGUUAUUUCUCAUAGUUCUGGAAACUGGGUAAUCAAGAUCAAGGUGUCGGCAGAUGAGAGGCUUUCUCCUUGACCUGCAGAUGGCCAUUUUCUUGCUGUGCCCUCACAUGGCCUUUUCUCUGCAUGUGCAUAUUCCUGGUAUUUCUUCCUCUUCAUAAAGAACACAGCUCCUACUAAGAGUCCCAUUCUUAAGGCAUCAUUUAACCUUAAUUGACUCCUUUAGAAUGCUAUCUCUAAAUAUAUUCACACUGUGCGUCAGGGCUUCAACAUAAGAGUUGUUGGGACACAAUUCAGUCCAUAACAACUGGUAAGAUGGCAGUAGUCUGAAAAGCAAUCUAUAGAUUCAAUGCAAUCUCCAUCAGAAUUCUAAUAGUCCUUUUUUUUUUUUUACUUUUGCAGAUUGCAAAACCCGACCCUCAAAUUCAUAUGAAAUUUCAAGGGGCCCAAAUAAUCAAAACAACAUUGAAAAAGGAAAACAAAGUUUGAAGACUCAAACACCCCAAUUUGAUCCAUGAGGACACAGGUUUGAUCCCUGGCCUUGCUCAGUGGGUUAGGGAUCUGGCGUUGCCAUGAGCUGUGUUGUAGGUCACAGACAUGGCUCAGAUCUGGCCUUGCUGUGGUGUAGGCCACUGGCUACAGCUGAUUCAACCCAUAGCCAGGGGACUUCCAUAUGCCACGGGUAUGGCAAAAAACCCCCAAACAGCUAAGUAAGUGAAGAGACAUAUUGUGCUUAUGGAUUGGUAAAAAUUUCAAUUUUUUCCCAAAUGAUAUAAAAGUAUGUAAUGCAAUUCUAUCAAAAUCUAAGCAGGACUUUUGAAAAAACAGGCUGACUCAAAGUUAUAUGUAAA